This 776-nucleotide ribosomal RNA is filed under the name uncultured fungus. RNAcentral describes it as "LSU rRNA". It matches the Rfam family "Eukaryotic large subunit ribosomal RNA", at positions 23 to 664 of the family's 3401-position model. Lineage: Eukaryota; Fungi. The record is from RNAcentral.
ACCCGCUGAACUUAAGCAUAUCAAUAAGCGGAGGAAAAGAAACUAACAAGGAUUCCCCUAGUAACGGCGAGUGAAGCGGGAAUAGCUCAAAUUUGAAAUCUCACAACGAAGGUUGUGCGAAUUGUAGUUUAGAGAAGCGUCUUCGGGGGUGACUGGGUAUAAGUCCUCUGGAAUGGGGCAUCAUAGAGGGUGAGAAUCCCGUUUAUGAUCCAAUUGGUCAUCUCUAUGUGAUACGCUUUCCAAGAGUCAGGUAGUUUGGGAUUGCUGCCUAAAACUGGGUGGUGGGUACCAUCUAAAGCUAAAUACUGGCGAGAGACCGAUAGCGAACAAGUACCGUGAGGGAAAGAUGAAAAGAACUUUGAAAAGAGAGUUAAACAGUACGUGAAAUUGCCAAAAGGGAAACGCUUGGAACCAGCUUGUAUACCAGCAAUCAGCCAUACCAGCCCGAGAAGGGUGAUGGUGGUGCACUUGCUUAAAGCGUGUACUCGUCAACAUCAGUUUGGCUCUGAGUAGAAUGCUAGACGGAAGGUAGCUUGGGUCUCGGCCUGAGUGUUAUAGCCGUUUAUAGGGGGGGUUGCGACUUGUAGCGUGCCCCCCGUUGAUGCUCGGGGCUGGACUGAGGACAGCAGCAUUAUUUGGGCAGCCAGUCGCCUCUUGAACUUUGUUCUUAGACAGCUCGCUGGCUAGGGACAAGGCUAGGGAGCUCGGUUGGUGUUGCCACACCAAUGCUUAGGAUGUUGGCAUAAUGGUUCCAAACGACCCGUCUUGAAACACGG